This 407-nucleotide ribosomal RNA is filed under the name uncultured bacterium. RNAcentral describes it as "partial 16S ribosomal RNA". It matches the Rfam family "Bacterial small subunit ribosomal RNA", at positions 30 to 526 of the family's 1533-position model. The record is from RNAcentral.
AUUGAACGCUAGCGGGAUGCCUUACACAUGCAAGUCGAACGGAGUGGCGAACGGGUGAGUAAUGUAUCGGAACGUGCCCAGUAGCGGGGGAUAACUACGCGAAAGCGUAGCUAAUACCGCAUACUAUUGGAGCGGCCGAGAUCGGAGUAGCUAGUUGGUGGGGUAACGGCUCACCAAGGCGACGGUCCGUAGCUGGUUUGAGAGGACGACCAGCCACACUGGGACUGAGACACGGCCCAGACUCCUACGGGAGGCAGCAGUGGGGAAUUUUGGACAAUGGGCGAAACCCUGAUCCAGCCAUCCCGCGUGUGCGAUGAAGGCCUUCGGGUUGUAAAGCACUUUUGGCAGGAAAGCGGUACCUGCAGAAUAAGCACCGGCUAACUACGUGCCAGCAGCCGCGGUAAUUC